AGAGCGAACGCUGGCGGCAGGCCUAACACAUGCAAGUCGAGCGGCCGUAGCAAUACGGCAGCGGCAGACGGGAGAGUAACACGUGGGAACGCGCCCUUCGGUUCGGAAUAACUCAGGGAAACUUGAGCUAAUACCGGAUACGCCCUUACGGGGAAAGAUUUAUUGCCGAAGGAACGGCCCGCGUCCGAUUAGCUAGUUGGUGAGGUAAUGGCUCACCAAGGCGACGAUCGGUAGCUGGUCUGAGAGGAUGAUCAGCCUCACUGGGACUGAGAUACGGCCCAGACUCCUACGGGAGGCAGCAGUGGGGAAUAUUGGACAAUGGGCGCAAGCCUGAUCCAGCCAUGCCGCGUGGAUGAUGAAGGCCCUAGGGUUGUAAAGUCCUUUCGGCGGGGAAGAGUAAUGACGGUACCCGCAGAAGAAGCCCCGGCUAACUUCGUGCCAGCAGCCGC
Molecule: ribosomal RNA, 449 nt
Filed under: uncultured bacterium
Lineage: Bacteria
Description: SSU rRNA
Rfam family: Bacterial small subunit ribosomal RNA
Source: RNAcentral